AUAUAUACCUGGCAGGGGAGACAUCUUGGUCACGAGAGAGGCUCACCUAGGAUGAAGCCCGGCCGUGCAGACCCCAUGCGAAUUCCCCAAACGUGGGAAUCUUGACUCCAUAAGUUAUGGUAGUGGGGAAUUGCGUCACGGUCUCCAC
Oncorhynchus mykiss (rainbow trout) is the source of this 148-nucleotide small nuclear RNA. Its record names the gene U1. It matches the Rfam family "U1 spliceosomal RNA". From Rfam's summary of the family: U1 is a small nuclear RNA (snRNA) component of the spliceosome (involved in pre-mRNA splicing). Its 5' end forms complementary base pairs with the 5' splice junction, thus defining the 5' donor site of an intron. There are significant differences in sequence and secondary structure between metazoan and yeast U1 snRNAs, the latter being much longer (568 nucleotides as compared to 164 nucleotides in human). The record is from Ensembl. NCBI's taxonomy places the organism in Eukaryota, Metazoa, Chordata, Actinopteri, Salmoniformes, Salmonidae.